RNAcentral lists this ribosomal RNA (513 nucleotides) under uncultured bacterium. RNAcentral's name for it is "partial 16S ribosomal RNA". It matches the Rfam family "Bacterial small subunit ribosomal RNA", at positions 28 to 523 of the family's 1533-position model. The record is from RNAcentral.
GAUGAACGCUGGCGGCGUGCCUAAUACAUGCAAGUCGAGCGAACGGAUAAGGAGCUUGCUCCUUUGAAGUUAGCGGCGGACGGGUGAGUAACACGUGGGUAACCUACCUAUAAGACUGGAAUAACUUCGGGAAACCGGAGCUAAUGCCGGAUAACAUAUAGAACCGCAUGGUUCUAUAGUGAAAGAUGGUUUUGCUAUCACUUAUAGAUGGACCCGCGUCGUAUUAGCUAGUUGGUAAGGUAAUGGCUUACCAAGGCGACGAUACGUAGCCGACCUGCGAGGGUGAUCGGCCACACUGGAACUGAGACACGGUCCAGACUCCUACGGGAGGCAGCAGUAGGGAAUCUUCCGCAAUGGGCGAAAGCCUGACGGAGCAACGCCGCGUGAGUGAUGAAGGUUUUCGGAUCGUAAAACUCUGUUAUUAGGGAAGAACAAAUGCGUAAGUAACUGUGCGCAUCUUGACGGUACCUAAUCAGAAAGCCACGGCUAACUACGUGCCAGCCGCCGCGGUAA